CCUACGGGUGGCAGCAGUGGGGAAUAUUGGACAAUGGGCGCAAGCCUGAUCCAGCAAUGCCGCGUGUGUGAAGAAGGCCUUCGGGUUGUAAAGCACUUUUGUGGAAAGCGCGGUACCGUAAGAAUAAGCACCGGCUAACUUCGUGCCAGCAGCCGCGGUAAUACGAAGGGUGCAAGCGUUAAUCGGAAUUACUGGGCGUAAAGCGUGCGUAGGCGGUUCGUUAAGUCUGUCGUGAAAGCCCUGGGCUCAACCUGGGAAUGGCGAUGGAUACUGGCGGGCUAGAGUCAGGUAGAGGGUGGUGGAAUUCCCGGUGUAGCGGUGAAAUGCGUAGAGAUCGGGAGGAACAUCUGUGGCGAAGGCGGCCACCUGGACCAUACUGACGCUGAGGCACGAAAGCGUGGGGAGCAAACAGGAUUAGAUACCCUUGUAGUC
Molecule: ribosomal RNA, 432 nt
Filed under: uncultured bacterium
Lineage: Bacteria
Description: partial 16S ribosomal RNA
Rfam family: Bacterial small subunit ribosomal RNA
Source: RNAcentral